This 314-nucleotide ribosomal RNA is filed under the name uncultured eukaryote. Its description in RNAcentral is "partial 18S ribosomal RNA". It matches the Rfam family "Eukaryotic small subunit ribosomal RNA", at positions 1470 to 1796 of the family's 1831-position model. The record is from RNAcentral.
CCCCUAGAUGUUCUGGGCCGCACGCGCGCUACACUGAACAGUUCAACAAGUCUUAACCUUGGCCGAUAGGUCUGGGUAAUCUUUGAACGCUGUUCGUGAUUGGGAUAGACCUUUGCAAUUAUGGGUCUUCAACGAGGAAUUCCUAGUAAACGCAAGUCAUCAGCUUGCAUUGAUUACGUCCCUGCCCUUUGUGCACACCGCCCGUCGCACCUACCGAUUGAAUGGUCCGGUGAAGCCUCCGGAUUGGCGCGCACCUCGGUGCCGCCGAGAAGUUGGCUAAACCUUACCAUUUAGAGGAAGGUGAAGUCGUAACA